RNAcentral lists this long non-coding RNA (893 nucleotides) under Brassica rapa (field mustard). RNAcentral describes it as "long non-coding RNA (BRAP_LNC003072)". Lineage: Eukaryota; Viridiplantae; Streptophyta; Magnoliopsida; Brassicales; Brassicaceae. The record is from RNAcentral.
AUAAUUGACUAACUAUAUUCACUAGAUCAAUAUUUUACUUUUGUGAGUUUCUCUACCAAGACAAUAAAGUUAGACAUAUGAAUGGAGUGAUGACUGAUGACAAAACAUGAUUAAAGAAACAACUCGUGGCAAACAAUCAUACUGUGUUUCAACUUUUGGCAGAUGAGGACUGGUGAAUUUCUAUUGUGUUGUGUUAAUGAUGCAGCCAAGGAUUUUUGUAGACUAUGCUAUGAUGUAAUCUUGAAUAAAUGACCGUUGGUUUGCCUCAAGUAGUGUUGUGGCCCAGGCAGAGUCCAGUGGAAUUCAAUAUCUUUUUUUUUACUAUUCUCACACUCUAGAAAACUUGGACAUGCAAUUGUAAGUGAUAUAGGUUAGUUCAUGAUAAUUUUGCACUGACUUAACGUAAUCUUGGAUAUACCCUAUUUUGUUUUGUUCUUUUUUUUUUUGUUUAAACCCUAUUUUGUUAUACCGAUUGAUUUUAAACACUACCUAAACGGAAUGGUAAGAUCGUAAAAGUAACUUUUUAGUUACCAGAAAAAUAAGAUUUUCAUCUAAUAUUCUUUUAUUUUGAUUUAAAAAACUAAAAGCAAGUUCCUAAGAGCAUCUCCAAUCUCACUCUAUUUUUCACUCUAAAAUAGAGUUUAGAGUAAAAAAUGCUCCAAUGGUACUAUAUUUCUCACUCUAUAAUAGAGUGACAAAUAGGUUUACUCCAAAUAUAGAGUAAAUUUUUUUUUUUGUUCAUCACUCUAUUUUCUACUCUAAAAUAGAAUAUUAUUGGAGCAAACUCAAACUCUAUUAUAGAAUUACUCUAUUUUAGAGUAAAAAAUAGAGUAAACCAUUGGAGAUGGUCAUCAUUAAGCUAUCUUAUCCAACUACCUCGUAUUAAAACUUAA